AGAUUUUCAAGUAUUGUCUCUUUCCUCUGCAAUAUAUGCGUCUUCAAUAGAGCCGCGCGAACUUCCUCGACCUCGUCUUCAUCGGCGAUCUCUUCUCCGUCAGCCACCUCGCUAUAUCGAAGCCAAGCAACAUCUUCUCCCCAGCCUCGAGCCUCAUCCCUGAUUAAACCCUCUUCAUCCGCAUCAAAGGUGACACCCUCUAUUGGGACGUCCAUUCUAUUUCUAUUGCUUCUAAUUUCUUUUCAUCUGUGAUGGCAUCUGAUAACUAUUCAUCAGGGGAAUGAAAUUAUAUGCGUGGGUUAAUGAUUGAGUUUCCUUGAAUCGAAAGUAUUGAUUUUCUAGACUUAAUCGUUGGCUACCUGCUGUGUCUGGCCAAGAUAAAAGGUUACAACCCAAGGAGAGUAGACUGGAAGUGUUAAGAGAUGGUGAAAUUAUGUUGCUGAAUAUCACAACACACCCGUCAAUAGUUGAAAGCAUAUUUCAAUAAUGAAGAUGAAUGGGAUGGGUGAUACAUACUCUGGAGAACGGCAAAAUUCGUUCAAUACAACAUUACCCCUUUCAACACCCCAAUUCUCAUCCCACCCAGCAAUGGGCUUUAUUUCUAGUCUACGUCCUCAUAUUCCUUGUGAGCUCGUUAGUGGGCAAGACAAAGAGAGGAGAUUGAUGGAGCAAAAUAUGUGUGUCAUCUGCAAGUUUUUACUUGUGUUUCUAAUUUUAUGAUUUUCACCUGCAAGUUUCAUCUAUGUCAUGUUGACAC
RNAcentral lists this long non-coding RNA (757 nucleotides) under Salvia miltiorrhiza (redroot sage). RNAcentral's name for it is "long non-coding RNA (SMIL_LNC008205)". Lineage: Eukaryota; Viridiplantae; Streptophyta; Magnoliopsida; Lamiales; Lamiaceae. The record is from RNAcentral.